GUUGCCACUCUGAAAUGCAGUACUGCUCUCUGCUGGCGACAGUGUGGUACAGCUCUUCAAAAACAGGGACGACUUGCAAGUCCUUUUCACACGGCUGGGAAAGACUGAGGCGUUGACUCUCAAAGUGAGGUGGGAGACAAAUCUAACAUGGAAUGAUUUUCCAACCACCACGCUCCCUCAGAAAACACCGCUUGGUGUCUUUGGCUUUGCAUUUAAACAGAGGCCACCAAAACCUUCCAUAAUGAAGUGUGGGUACAUAUCCAUCAAAUCCUUUAGGAUGAGAAAUGGAGCCUAAAAUAGAAGAUGUUCUCAACACUACUCUCCAGUAACCAGUGGUAUUAAGUAUUAGGGUUAAACUUCACCUUGGGGAGAAAAAAAGAAAAUGUUUAUGGACCUUUCUCAAAGCGCACUGGGAAACAUGAAACACGGCUCUGAUUUCAGGGGCUGGUAAAUGCAAGCAUAUUCCAGGUUU
Molecule: non-coding RNA, 472 nt
Organism: Ceratotherium simum simum (southern white rhinoceros)
Lineage: Eukaryota; Metazoa; Chordata; Mammalia; Perissodactyla; Rhinocerotidae
Source: RefSeq, a predicted model, not a curated record